UGUUUGGAGAGUUUGAUCCUGGCUCAGGAUGAACGCUGGCGGCGUGCUUAACACAUGCAAGUCGAACGCUGAAGCUCCAGCUUGCUGGGGUGGAUGAGUGGCGAACGGGUGAGUAUCAC
Enteractinococcus sp. is the source of this 119-nucleotide non-coding RNA. The record is from Rfam. Lineage: Bacteria; Bacillati; Actinomycetota; Actinomycetes; Micrococcales; Micrococcaceae.